RNA transcript from Limulus polyphemus (Atlantic horseshoe crab), 1230 nucleotides. It is a transcript of the gene named ER membrane protein complex subunit 8-like, with no coding region annotated. The record is from RefSeq and is a predicted model, not a curated record. Lineage: Eukaryota; Metazoa; Arthropoda; Merostomata; Xiphosura; Limulidae. The transcript has 7 exons.
AGUGAACCGAUGUUUGUAGAUUGAACAAUUGGAGUCCAAGGUUCAACAAGAACUUGAAACACUCAGAGAAAAGAUUAAAACCAUGGAAGACGAAAUGGUAACUUAUAGUAACCUGGAUCAGUUGAAGCUAACUGCCGAAGACAGACGGCAGCGAAUGAUUGAAGAGGAGAAACAUCUUCACGCAAAGAGGGAUGCUAUAAAGAAAGUCGUGUCGGAGGCUACCAGUCAGUACGAAGAACUUAAAAGUAAGCUGAACGAGAACGAGACAUUCACUCAACUCAACAACUUGGAGCGGCGUUGGCAACACCAAGAACAGAAUAAUUUUGCUAUGAAGGAAUUCAUUGCAACAAAAAAAGCUGAAACAGAUUUCCGUCCUACCCAGAAAGUGGUGGAGUAUUACUGCAAAUCAAAAGGACUAGAAAUAGCUGGAUAUUACCAAGGAAAUGAAAAUUUUCAAGAUUCAAGCCCGGAUGCCGUUGCUUAUCGAGUAGCCGAGAAAGUUCAAGAAAAUUUUAGUGACACGUGUCUUGUUAUCGUGGAUAACCAAAAAAUUUCUGUUGAGUGCAAAGAAAUUGGUUUCCAGCUGUAUCAACACAGUGAUAAUAAGUGGAAGUUGAAAGAUAAAACCAGUGUAUUUCUUGAGCAAGGUCAUGGUGCACUUGGAAUUGCGUCAACACUUCUACAGUCUAAGGUUUACAGACACUUGGUGGAUUUUGAUAAUCAUCUUGAUGAUAUAUCUCAAGACUGGAGUAACCAGUUAAUAAAUGAAGAAAUAGCACGUUGUUUAUAGCAGUGAAUUAAUUAAAUUAAUAUCCCUGUAAGUUGUAUUAUAUCAUUGUGUUUUAGAUAAAGAAAUGGAAAACCUAGAGCAAAAUAUCCUCAUCAGUUCUACAUUCAGGCUAAAGAUUUAGUUGGGAUGCAGUGAUCAUAAAUGAAUGUUUUUCCUCAUGUGAAACCUUUGAUAUGUACAGGUAUAGAGAGCAUGUUGUAGGCAUACACAGAAUGUCUGUUAAUACAGGGACAGGUAUGGAGAAUAUGCUGUUGGCAUACACAGAAUGUCUAUUAAUAAAAGGUAUUAAUUAAUUAUAUUAUAUCAAGUUCAAAAAUAUUGUCGUAUAAGUAAUUACUUAACAAAUCACCACUAAGUUAUUGGUUUAUUUUUAAAUGUAAUUCAGGAAACAUACUUUAUGUAAAAUUUCAUUGGUUGUAAAGUUUCUUUGUGUUGAAAAA